GACGAACGCUGGCGGCGUGCUUAACACAUGCAAGUCGAGCGGUAAGGCCCUUUCGGGGGUACACGAGCGGCGAACGGGUGAGUAACACGUGGGUGACCUGCCCUCAGCUCUGGGAUAAGCCCGGGAAACUGGGUCUAAUACCGGAUAUCACCUUGGGAGGCAUCUUCCGGGGUUGAAAGUUUUUGGCGGCUGAGGAUGGGCCCGCGGCCUAUCAGCUUGUUGGUGGGGUAGUGGCCUACCAAGGCGACGACGGGUAGCCGGCCUGAGAGGGCGACCGGCCACACUGGGACUGAGACACGGCCCAGACUCCUACGGGAGGCAGCAGUGGGGAAUAUUGCACAAUGGGCGAAAGCCUGAUGCAGCGACGCCGCGUGA
This 375-nucleotide ribosomal RNA is filed under the name uncultured bacterium. RNAcentral's name for it is "bacterial SSU rRNA". It matches the Rfam family "Bacterial small subunit ribosomal RNA", at positions 28 to 404 of the family's 1533-position model. The record is from RNAcentral.